UACGGGGGGAGCAAGCGUUGUUCGGAUUUACUGGGCGUAAAGGGCGCGUAGGCGGUCAGCACAAGUCAGUUGUGAAAUCUCCGGGCUUAACUCGGAAAGGUCAACUGAUACUGCGGGGCUAGAGUGCGGAAGGGGCAACUGGAAUUCUCGGUGUAGCGGUGAAAUGCGUAGAUAUCGAGAGGAACACCUGCGGCGAAGGCGGGUUGCUGGGCCGACACUGACGCUGAUGCGCGAAAGCCAGGGGAGCGAACGGG
This 254-nucleotide ribosomal RNA is filed under the name uncultured bacterium. RNAcentral's name for it is "partial 16S ribosomal RNA". It matches the Rfam family "Bacterial small subunit ribosomal RNA", at positions 524 to 776 of the family's 1533-position model. The record is from RNAcentral.